GUCAUUGUUGAGAGUUGCUUCACAAGAACGAGCUCCAAUCUAUAUAAAUAUUAGAAAUAACUCACUUUCAGAUCUUUGCUCUUUCCUGAAAGCAAUUUCAGAAAUCAAAAAUGCAAAAAGCAUAAUAUCCUGUGAAAAGAAGGCUUUGGACAGGCUCUGAAGGCUGAGCGACAACUGAUAACCAAUAACUGUAGAAACCAGCCGAAGAAAAAAAUUCCGAUAUGAACUCAGUGUACACCAGGUGGAAAGACAUGAUAUUCCAACUAAAAGGAUGACUAAAGAAUACUCGGAUCAAUGACUAGAAACAUGUAGAUACAAUUUCACACCAGUUUUCUGUGAUUCCGAAGCUUACGUUACUCUCUUGAAAUUAAGACCCAUCCGUUU
This 384-nucleotide unclassified non-coding RNA is filed under the name Hevea brasiliensis (rubber tree). The record is from RNAcentral. Lineage: Eukaryota; Viridiplantae; Streptophyta; Magnoliopsida; Malpighiales; Euphorbiaceae.